AACGUUGUAUGCGACUGGCGAAAAAAGUGGAAUCAACCACGAGGGAGCAUGCAGAUUGGACGUUCCGUUCGCCUGGGAAAAGUAU
Molecule: non-coding RNA, 85 nt
Filed under: Paenibacillus sp.
Lineage: Bacteria; Bacillati; Bacillota; Bacilli; Caryophanales; Paenibacillaceae
Description: ZTP sequence
Rfam family: ZMP/ZTP riboswitch aptamer (pfl RNA motif)
About the family: Previously known as pfl RNA. ZMP is also known as AICAR.
Source: RNAcentral